Molecule: transfer RNA, 72 nt
Filed under: Bos taurus (domestic cattle)
Lineage: Eukaryota; Metazoa; Chordata; Mammalia; Artiodactyla; Bovidae
Also listed under: 1 other name
Description: tRNA-Ala (AGC) (tRNA-Ala-AGC-14-1)
Rfam family: tRNA
About the family: Transfer RNA (tRNA) molecules are approximately 80 nucleotides in length. Their secondary structure includes four short double-helical elements and three loops (D, anti-codon, and T loops).
Source: Rfam by way of RNAcentral
GGGGGUGUAGCUCAGUGGUAGAGUGUAUGCUUAGCAUGCACGAGGUGCCAGGUUCAAAUCCUGGCACUUCCA